GGGACACGUGGUAUCCUGUCUGAAUAUGGGGGGACCAUCCUCCAAGGCUAAAUACUCCUGACUGACCGAUAGUGAACCAGUACCGUGAGGGAAAGGCGAAAAGAACCCCGGCGAGGGGAGUGAAAAAGAACCUGAAACCGUGUACGUACAAGCAGUGGGAGCACCUUCGGGUGUGACUGCGUACCUUUUGUAUAAUGGGUCAGCGACUUAUAUUCUGUAGCAAGGUUAACCGUAUAGGGGAGCCGCAGGGAAACCGAGUCUUAACUGGGCGUUAAGUUGCAGGGUAUAGACCCGAAACCCGGUGAUCUAGCCAUGGGCAGGUUGAAGGUUGGGUAACACUAACUGGAGGACCGAACCGACUAAUGUUGAAAAAUUAGCGGAUGACUUGUGGCUGGGGGUGAAAGGCCAAUCAAACCGGGAGAUAGCUGGUUCUCCCCGAAAGCUAUUUAGGUAGCGCCUCGUGAACUCAUCUUCGGGGGUAGAGCACUGUUUCGGCUAGGGGGUCAUCCCGACUUACCAACCCGAUGCAAACUACGAAUACCGAAGAAUGUUAUCACGGGAGACACACGGCGGGUGCUAACGUCCGUCGUGAAGAGGGAAACAACCCAGACCGCCAGCUAAGGUCCCAAAGUCAUGGUUAAGUGGGAAACGAUGUGGGAAGGCACAGACAGCCAGGAUGUUGGCUUAGAAGCAGCCAUCAUUUAAAGAAAGCGUAAUAGCUCACUGGUCGAGUCGGCCUGCGCGGAAGAUGUAACGGGGCUAAACCAUGCACCGAAGCUGCGGCAGCGACACUAUGUGUUGUUGGGUAGGGGAGCGUUCUGUAAGCCUGCGAAGGUGUGCUGUGAGGCAUGCUGGAGGUAUCAGAAGUGCGAAUGCUGACAUAAGUAACGAUAAAGCGGGUGAAAAGCCCGCUCGCCGGAAGACCAAGGGUUCCUGUCCAACGUUAAUCGGGGCAGGGUGAGUCGACCCCUAAGGCGAGGCCGAAAGGCGUAGUCGAUGGGAAACAGGUUAAUAUUCCUGUACUUGGUGUUACUGCGAAGGGGGGACGGAGAAGGCUAUGUUAGCCGGGCGACGGUUGUCCCGGUUUAAGCAUGUAGGCUGGUUAUCCAGGCAAAUCCGGAUAAUCAAGGCUGAGGUGUGAUGACGAGGCACUACGGUGCUGAAGUAACAAAUGCCCUGCUUCCAGGAAAAGCCUCUAAGCAUCAGGUAACAUCAAAUCGUACCCCAAACCGACACAGGUGGUCAGGUAGAGAAUACCAAGGCGCUUGAGAGAACUCGGGUGAAGGAACUAGGCAAAAUGGUGCCGUAACUUCGGGAGAAGGCACGCUGGUGUGUAGGUGAAGUCCCUGCGGAUGGAGCUGAGACCAGUCGAAGAUACCAGCUGGCUGCAACUGUUUAUUAAAAACACAGCACUGUGCAAACACGAAAGUGGACGUAUACGGUGUGACGCCUGCCCGGUGCCGGAAGGUUAAUUGAUGGGGUUAUCCGUAAGGAGAAGCUCUUGAUCGAAGCCCCGGUAAACGGCGGCCGUAACUAUAACGGUCCUAAGGUAGCGAAAUUCCUUGUCGGGUAAGUUCCGACCUGCACGAAUGGCGUAAUGAUGGCCAGGCUGUCUCCACCCGAGACUCAGUGAAAUUGAACUCGCUGUGAAGAUGCAGUGUACCCGCGGCAAGACGGAAAGACCCCGUGAACCUUUACUAUAGCUUGACACUGAACAUUGAGCCUUGAUGUGUAGGAUAGGUGGGAGGCUUUGAAGCGUGGACGCCAGUCUGCGUGGAGCCAACCUUGAAAUACCACCCUUUAAUGUUUGAUGUUCUAACGUUGGCCCCUGACCGGGGUUGCGGACAGUGUCUGGUGGGUAGUUUGACUGGGGCGGUCUCCUCCCAAAGCGUAACGGAGGAGCACGAAGGUUAGCUAAUCCUGGUCGGACAUCAGGAGGUUAGUGCAAUGGCAUAAGCUAGCUUGACUGCGAGCGUGACGGCGCGAGCAGGUGCGAAAGCAGGUCAUAGUGAUCCGGUGGUUCUGAAUGGAAGGGCCAUCGCUCAACGGAUAAAAGGUACUCCGGGGAUAACAGGCUGAUACCGCCCAAGAGUUCAUAUCGACGGCGGUGUUUGGCACCUCGAUGUCGGCUCAUCACAUCCUGGGGCUGAAGUAGGUCCCAAGGGUAUGGCUGUUCGCCAUUUAAAGUGGUACGCGAGCUGGGUUUAGAACGUCGUGAGACAGUUCGGUCCCUAUCUGCCGUGGGCGCUGGAGAAUUGAGGGGGGCUGCUCCUAGUACGAGAGGACCGGAGUGGACGCAUCACUGGUGUUCGGGUUGUCAUGCCAAUGGCACUGCCCGGUAGCUAAAUGCGGAAGAGAUAAGUGCUGAAAGCAUCUAAGCACGAAACUUGCCCCGAGAUGAGUUCUCCCUGAGACUUUAAGUCUCCUGAAGGAACGUUAAAGACGAUGACGUUGAUAGGCCGGGUGUGUAAGCGCAGCGAUGCGUUGAGCUAACCGGUACUAAUGAACCGUGAGGCUUAACCUU
RNAcentral lists this ribosomal RNA (2524 nucleotides) under Klebsiella pneumoniae. RNAcentral's name for it is "partial 23S ribosomal RNA". It matches the Rfam family "Bacterial large subunit ribosomal RNA", at positions 419 to 2925 of the family's 2925-position model. Lineage: Bacteria; Pseudomonadati; Pseudomonadota; Gammaproteobacteria; Enterobacterales; Enterobacteriaceae. The record is from RNAcentral.